GAUGAACGCUAGCGGGAGGCCUAACACAUGCAAGCCGAGCGGUAUUGUUUCUUCGGAAAUGAGAGAGCGGCGUACGGGUGCGGAACACGUGUGCAACCUGCCUUUAUCUGGGGGAUAGCCUUUCGAAAGGAAGAUUAAUACUCCAUAACAUAUUGAUUGGCAUCAAUUAAUAUUGAAAGCUCCGGCGGAUAGAGAUGGGCACGCGCAAGAUUAGCUAGUUGGUGAGGUAACGGCUCACCAAGGCGAUGAUCUUUAGGGGGCCUGAGAGGGUGAUCCCCCACACUGGUACUGAGACACGGACCAGACUCCUACGGGAGGCAGCAGUGAGGAAUACUGGUCAAUGGGUGCAAGCCUGAACCAGCCAUCCCGCGUGAAGGACGACUGCCCUAUGGGUUGUAAACUUCUUUUGUAUAGGGAUAAACCUACCCUCGUGAGGGUAGCUGAAGGUACUAUACGAAUAAGCACCGGCUAACUCCGUGCCAGCAGCCGCGGCAAUACGGAGGGUGCAAGCGUUAUCCGGAUUUAUUGGGUUUAAAGGGUCCGUAGGCGGACUUAUAAGUCAGUGGUGAAAGCCUGUCGCUUAACGAUAGAACUGCCAUUGAUACUGUAAGUCUUGAGUAUAUUUGAGGUAGCUGGAAUAAGUAGUGUAGCGGUGAAAUGCAUAGAUAUUACUUAGAACACCAAUUGCGAAGGCAGGUUACCAAGAUAUAACUGACGCUGAGGGACGAAAGCGUGGGGAGCGAACAGGAUUAGAUACCCUGGUAGUCCACGCCGUAAACGAUGCUAACUCGUUUUUGGGCUUUAGGGUUCAGAGACCAAGCGAAAGUGAUAAGUUAGCCACCUGGGGAGUACGCUCGCAAGAGUGAAACUCAAAGGAAUUGACGGGGGCCCGCACAAGCGGUGGAUUAUGUGGUUUAAUUCGAUGAUACGCGAGGAACCUUACCAAGACUUAAAUGGGAAUUGACAGCUUUAGAAAUAGAGCUUUCUUCGGACAAUUUUCAAGGUGCUGCAUGGUUGUCGUCAGCUCGUGCCGUGAGGUGUUAGGUUAAGUCCUGCAACGAGCGCAACCCCUGUCACUAGUUGCCAUCAUUCAGUUGGGGACUCUAGUGAGACUGCCUACGCAAGUAGAGAGGAAGGUGGGGAUGACGUCAAAUCAUCACGGCCCUUACGUCUUGGGCCACACACGUAAUACAAUGGCCGGUACAGAGGGCAGCUACACAGCGAUGUGAUGCAAAUCUCGAAAGCCGGUCUCAGUUCGGAUUGGAGUCUGCAACUCGACUCUAUGAAGCUGGAAUCGCUAGUAAUCGCGCAUCAGCCAUGGCGCGGUGAAUACGUUCCCGGGCCU
This 1345-nucleotide ribosomal RNA is filed under the name uncultured bacterium. RNAcentral describes it as "bacterial SSU rRNA". It matches the Rfam family "Bacterial small subunit ribosomal RNA", at positions 28 to 1381 of the family's 1533-position model. The record is from RNAcentral.